UACGAAGGGGGCUAGCGUUGCUCGGAAUUACUGGGCGUAAAGGGAGCGUAGGCGGGUCUUUAAGUCAGGGGGGAAAUCCUGGAGCUCAACUCCAGAACUGCCUUUGAUACUGAAGAUCUUGAGUUCGGGAGAGGUGAGUGGAACUGCGAGUGUAGAGGUGAAAUUCGUAGAUAUUCGCAAGAACACCAGUGGCGAAGGUGGCUCACUGGCCCGAUACUGACGCUGAGGCACGAAAGCGUGGGGAGCAAACAGG
This 253-nucleotide ribosomal RNA is filed under the name uncultured bacterium. RNAcentral's name for it is "partial 16S ribosomal RNA". It matches the Rfam family "Bacterial small subunit ribosomal RNA", at positions 524 to 776 of the family's 1533-position model. The record is from RNAcentral.